Small nucleolar RNA from Arachis duranensis, 108 nucleotides. The record is from RefSeq and is a predicted model, not a curated record. NCBI's taxonomy places the organism in Eukaryota, Viridiplantae, Streptophyta, Magnoliopsida, Fabales, Fabaceae.
AAACAUAUCAUGAGAGCACUUUCUCAACAUCUCCUUGUAUCUUUUUCAAGUUUCAUAGAGGAAUUCUCCUUCCUUUUAAGUGAAGAUUUGAAUGUCAUGUCUUAGUUU